This 253-nucleotide ribosomal RNA is filed under the name uncultured bacterium. Its description in RNAcentral is "partial 16S ribosomal RNA". It matches the Rfam family "Bacterial small subunit ribosomal RNA", at positions 524 to 776 of the family's 1533-position model. The record is from RNAcentral.
UACGGAGGGUGCGAGCGUUGUCCAGAAUCACUGGGCGUAAAGGGCGCGUAGGCGGCGCGGGCAGUCAACGGUGAAAGCUUGGGGCUCAACCCCGAGUCGGCCGUCGAUACUCCCGGGCUGGAGCACUGUAGAGGCAGGUGGAAUUCCGGGUGUAGCGGUGGAAUGCGUAGAGAUCCGGAAGAACACCGGUGGCGAAGGCGGGUCUCUGGGCCGAUACUGACGCUGAGGAGCGAAAGCGUGGGGAGCAAACAGG